Molecule: ribosomal RNA, 620 nt
Filed under: uncultured Bacteroidota bacterium
Lineage: Bacteria; Pseudomonadati; Bacteroidota
Description: bacterial SSU rRNA
Rfam family: Bacterial small subunit ribosomal RNA
Source: RNAcentral
UAAGGAAUAUUGGACAAUGGAGGCAACUCUGAUCCAGCCAUGCCGCGUGAAGGAAGACGGCCUUAUGGGUUGUAAACUUCUUUUAUACAGGAAGAAACCUUUCCACGUGUGGAAAGUUGACGGUACUGUAAGAAUAAGGAUCGGCUAACUCCGUGCCAGCAGCCGCGGUAAUACGGAGGAUCCAAGCAUUAUCCGGAAUUAUUGGGUUUAAAGGGUCCGUAGGCGGGCGUAUAAGUCAGUGGUGAAAGUCUGUGGCUUAACCAUAGAAUUGCCAUUGAUACUGUAUGUCUUGAAUUAUUGUGAAGUGGUUAGAAUAUGUAGUGUAGCGGUGAAAUGCUUAGAGAUUACAUAGAAUACCGAUUGCGAAGGCAGAUCACUAACAAUAUAUUGACGCUGAUGGACGAAAGCGUAGGUAGCGAACAGGAUUAGAUACCCUGGUAGUCUACGCCGUAAACGAUGGAUACUAGUUGUUUGGUUUUCGGACUGAGUGACUAAGCGAAAGUGAUAAGUAUCCCACCUGGGGAGUACGUUCGCAAGAAUGAAACUCAAAGGAAUUGACGGGGGCCCGCACAAGCGGUGGAGCAUGUGGUUUAAUUCGAUGAUACGCGAGGAACCUUACC